Molecule: long non-coding RNA, 425 nt
Organism: Cornus florida
Lineage: Eukaryota; Viridiplantae; Streptophyta; Magnoliopsida; Cornales; Cornaceae
Exons: 2
Source: RefSeq, a predicted model, not a curated record
CUAGUAGGCAUAAAGCUCUCUCUCUCUCUCUCUCUCUCUCUCGUCAACCUUCACUUUUUCACUCUAUAUCUAUCUAUAGACACUAAAUGACUUACAAAACUUCAAGCUUGCUUUUAAAGUGAGAUUUUGAUGAGACUAUUGAUGAAGAAGUGAUAAGCUUGAGAAAAGCUUCUAAUUGAGACCAAUAUUGCAAGGGGUUUAGGGAAUUUCAAAAUUUGGAGCCUUAAGGGCUUGUUUGACUAGCACACUUUGAGGAUUUUAGGAGCUGCCGAAUGGAUGAGUCGCCUUCACAUACUAUUACGUAGUUAGAAAGUUUAAAAAAUGAAUUUCAUAUAACCAUACUCAAUGUAAUUGAAUUCAAUUUGAUGGAUAAAGAUGUAUUAAUCUCAUUAUGUUGUAUGAAUAUUAUCUUAUCAUUGUAAGCA